AGUAUGACAGAGGAAAGUCAGGCCAGGGAUGUGAAGCAGAAACCAUGGAGGAGUGCUGCUUGAAGGAACCGGGACUUCAUUAUUGGUGAGAGCCAAGUCCAUGUGACUUUCUAAAGGGAUCUGAGCAGUCUGAGACCCGUGAGGUCCAAAGCAGCCCCCUAAAGGGGCAGAGCUGGCGACCAUGUCCCAAGCAGAAGGACUCUGGCUGGGAAACAGAAGCCUAAAGGCGUUUUUUCUCUUUACCAGAAAGCAGAUCUCAUAAGGUAGGUUUCUGUUUACCAGGAACCUUCCUUCAUCUGCCCUUAAAGGUCCAACUACCUUGGGCAAGGGCGUCUAGUUCUGGGUCAACCAGAACGGUUUGCAUCAGCUCAAAAACCCCACCCUGUGGGCCGCCGUAUAAAGUCUUCCAUCUUGCUUUUCUGCCAUCUUGCUUUUCUCUGCUCCCCUCCCCCAUCGUCUUGGCAGUCCCAUCCCCAGUAAACUUUUCUUUCUACCCAUGGCUUCACUUCGUCCUCACUUACACUUCCUUUCAUACAUCAUUUUAUUUCCUUGCAGUCUGAGGUUGUAACCAUAUUUGUGCUUUUGGGAAUCUGAGGUUUUUGAUUGAUGACUAAUUUUGCAAAUAACUUUAGGCAUAGUUUUGCAUGAGUGACUGGGCAUGAAAUCUUGUACAUUGGAACAAACGUAUAUCUCCUGUGAUUUUUUAACUGCUUAUUUAUUUACCUCUAUGUGCAAACACCCACAUGGAAGUCAGAGGAUCCCUCAUGGGAGUCGGUUCUCAAUCUACCAAGCCUGUAAAGCUGAGCAUCUUACUGGCCCCAUGCUCUUCAUUUUAUUUAUUGGAGCUGAGAAAGAUAUAAGCUUUCUUAAUAAACAUGUGUCGUUUCCAAGCCAGGAUAUUGAAAUACUUUCCUUGUGGGACUAGAACACUCAGUGGGCCGAGAGUCCAAAUCUGUUCACU
Peromyscus maniculatus bairdii (prairie deer mouse) is the source of this 961-nucleotide non-coding RNA. Lineage: Eukaryota; Metazoa; Chordata; Mammalia; Rodentia; Cricetidae. The record is from RefSeq and is a predicted model, not a curated record.